AAACUCACCAGAUAAGACAGACUGAAUGAGUAGUCGGGACUGAAGACUCUACUUGACUAGCUGAGAGGAGGUGCAUGGCCGUCGUCAGUUCGUACUGUGAAGCAUCCUGUUAAGUCAGGCAACGAGCGAGACCCACGCCAACAGUUGCCAGCUCGUCCUCCGGGAUGGUGGGGACACUGUUGGGACCGCCUCUGCUAAAGAGGAGGAAGGAAUGGGCAACGGUAGGUCAGCAUGCCCCGAAUUAUCCGGGCUACACGCGGGCUACAAUGGUCAGGACAAUGGGCAUCAACACCGAAAGGUGAAGGCAAUCUCUUAAACCUGUCCUUAGUUCGGAUUGUGGGCUGCAACUCGCCCACAUGAAGCUGGAAUCUGUAGUAAUCGCGUCUCAAAAUGGCGCGGUGAAUAUGUCCCUGCUCCUU
RNAcentral lists this ribosomal RNA (419 nucleotides) under uncultured Methanolinea sp. Its description in RNAcentral is "bacterial SSU rRNA". It matches the Rfam family "Archaeal small subunit ribosomal RNA", at positions 922 to 1338 of the family's 1478-position model. Lineage: Archaea; Methanobacteriati; Methanobacteriota; Methanomicrobia; Methanomicrobiales; Methanoregulaceae. The record is from RNAcentral.